AGCAAGUAAUACAUAAACACCUGUUGCACAUGACUCACGCUGGCUUUCCUUAAACUUGUGAAUGAAAGUCAGUGACGAUCGCUCGUUUCGUUUUCUGUUUCAGGUGGAUUCGAAACUACUUUAGUAUUAACCUCUGCGAGAAAGAAAAACCAACGACAAAGCAAUCUUCGUUCUCCAAGCUGAAAAUGGGCCAGAAAUUAUUUGCUGGACUAUAUGAACCUGCUCCUUCACUUGCCUGCAACGCACCAUCGAAGUGUGCAGGGAGAUAAAUCAAGAAAAUAUCAUUAGCUUUACAUAACUGAAUAGGAUGUGGGCUGCAAUAUCAGUAAAUGAUCACCAGUGGGCUGCCAUCUCCACCUGAAUGCAUGAAAUUCCUAGUGUGGGUCUUCGUUAGUUAAAUUGGAGCUGUACAUUUGUUUCAUGUUACAGGAAAUCCCCACAGGUGUGGUGAUAUUAU
Molecule: long non-coding RNA, 457 nt
Organism: Penaeus monodon (black tiger shrimp)
Lineage: Eukaryota; Metazoa; Arthropoda; Malacostraca; Decapoda; Penaeidae
Exons: 2
Source: RefSeq, a predicted model, not a curated record